GACGAACGCUGGCGGCGUGCUUAACACAUGCAAGUCGAACGAUGAACCCGGAGCUUGCUCCGGUGGAUUAGCGGCGAACGGGUGAGUAACACGUGAGUAACCUGCCCUUGACUCUGGGAUAACUGCGGGAAACUGUAGCUAAUACCGGAUACGACCCUCGGCGGCAUCGCCAGGGGGUGGAAAGAAUUUCGGUCAAGGAUGGACUCGCGGCCUAGCAGCUAGUUGGUGAGGUAACGGCUCACGAAGGCGAAGACGGGUAGCCGGGCUGAGAGGGUGACCGGCCACCCUGGGACUGAGACACGGCCCAGACUCCUACGGGAGGGAGCAGUGGGGAAUAUUGCACAAUGGGCGCAAGCCUGAUGCAGCAACGCCGCGUGAGGGAUGACGGCCUUCGGGUUGUAAACCUCUUUUAGUAGGGAAGAAGCGAAAGUGACGGUACCUGCAGAAAAAGCACCGGCUAACUACGUGCCAGCCGCCGCGGUAA
Molecule: ribosomal RNA, 484 nt
Filed under: uncultured bacterium
Lineage: Bacteria
Description: partial 16S ribosomal RNA
Rfam family: Bacterial small subunit ribosomal RNA
Source: RNAcentral